UACGGAGGAUGCGAGCGUUAUCCGGAUUUAUUGGGUUUAAAGGGUGCGCAGGCGGCACGGCAAGCCGGCGGUCAAAUCGCGGGGCUCAACCCCGCCCAGCCGUCGGAACUGCCGGGCUAGAGUGGGCGAGAAGUGCGCGGAAUGCGUGGUGUAGCGGUGAAAUGCAUAGAUAUCACGCAGAACUCUGAUUGCGAAGGCAGCGCACCGGCGCCCUACUGACGCUCAGGCACGAAAGCGUGGGUAUCGAACAGG
RNAcentral lists this ribosomal RNA (252 nucleotides) under uncultured bacterium. Its description in RNAcentral is "partial 16S ribosomal RNA". It matches the Rfam family "Bacterial small subunit ribosomal RNA", at positions 524 to 776 of the family's 1533-position model. The record is from RNAcentral.